GACGAACGCUGGCGGCGUGCUUAACACAUGCAAGUCGAACGGAAAGGCCCUUCAGGGUACUCGAGUGGCGAACGGAUGAGUAACACGUGGGUGAUCUGCCCUGCACUCUGGGAUAAGCCUGGGAAACUGGGUCUAAUACCGGAUAGGACCACACACUUCAUGGUGAGUGGUGCAAAGCUUUUGCGGUGUGGGAUGAGCCCGCGGCCUAUCAGCUUGUUGGUGGGGUAAUGGCCCACCAAGGCGACGACGGGUAGCCGGCCUGAGAGGGUGACCGGCCACACUGGGACUGAGAUACGGCCCAGACUCCUACGGGAGGCAGCAGUGGGGAAUAUUGCACAAUGGGCGCAAGCCUGAUGCAGCGACGCCGCGUGAGGGAUGACGGCCUUCGAGUUGUAAACCUCUUUCAGUAGGGACGAGGCGAAAGUGACGGUACCUACAGAAGAAGGACCGGCCAACUACGUGCCAGCAGCCGCGGUAAUACGUAGGGUCCGAGCGUUGUCCGGAAUUACUGGGCGUAAAGAGCUCGUAGGUGGUUUGUCGCGUUGUUCGUGAAAACUCACAGCUUAACUGUGGGCGUGCGGGCGAUACGGGCAGACUAGAGUACUGCAGGGGAGACUGGAAUUCCUGGUGUAGCGGUGGAAUGCGCAGAUAUCAGGAGGAACACCGGUGGCGAAGGCGGGUCUCUGGGCAGUAACUGACGCUGAGGAGCGAAAGCGUGGGUAGCGAACAGGAUUAGAUACCCUGGUAGUCCACGCCGUAAACGGUGGGUACUAGGUGUGGGUUUCCUUCCUUGGGAUCCGUGCCGUAGCUAACGCAUUAAGUACCCCGCCUGGGGAGUACGGUCGCAAGACUAAAACUCAAAGGAAUUGACGGGGGCCCGCACAAGCGGCGGAGCAUGUGGAUUAAUUCGAUGCAACGCGAAGAACCUUACCUGGGUUUGACAUGCACAGGACGUACCUAGAGAUAGGUAUUCCCUUGUGGCCUGUGUGCAGGUGGUGCAUGGCUGUCGUCAGCUCGUGUCGUGAGAUGUUGGGUUAAGUCCCGCAACGAGCGCAACCCUUGUCCUAUGUUGCCAGCGGGUAAUGCCGGGGACUCGUAGGAGACUGCCGGGGUCAACUCGGAGGAAGGUGGGGAUGACGUCAAGUCAUCAUGCCCCUUAUGUCCAGGGCUUCACACAUGCUACAAUGGCCAGUACAGAGGGCUGCGAAGCCGCAAGGUGGAGCGAAUCCCUUAAAGCUGGUCUCAGUUCGGAUUGGGGUCUGCAACUCGACCCCAUGAAGUCGGAGUCGCUAGUAAUCGCAGAUCAGCAACGCUGCGGUGAAUACGUUCCCGGGCCU
This 1337-nucleotide ribosomal RNA is filed under the name uncultured bacterium. RNAcentral's name for it is "bacterial SSU rRNA". It matches the Rfam family "Bacterial small subunit ribosomal RNA", at positions 28 to 1381 of the family's 1533-position model. The record is from RNAcentral.